This 11404-nucleotide long non-coding RNA is filed under the name Citrus maxima (pomelo). RNAcentral's name for it is "long non-coding RNA (CMAX_LNC002502)". Lineage: Eukaryota; Viridiplantae; Streptophyta; Magnoliopsida; Sapindales; Rutaceae. The record is from RNAcentral.
UAAGACGUACGGGCAGCAUAAUUAAGUCCUCAUAACUCUCAAGUGCAGGCAUCAAAAAAUCAAAACUGAGAAUGACUGGUGAUAUAUAUAUAUAUAUAUAUAGACACCUCAAGCAAUUAAGAAAGAAGCAAAUUAUAAUCAUGGCUUCUAUAGCUGAUCAGGAAGAAGAGACAAAUAAUUUCUCACAUGCAAUGGGACUUGCAAGUGCAAUAGUGCUACCUGCAGUUAUGCAAGCAGUGGUAGAGCUUGAUGUGUUUGAGAUCAUAAGUUAUGAACGGAUAUUUAAAUAAAAGAAAAUUUAUAAUAAAGAAAAGUAUUAAUUUGUUGUGAAUGUAACUUAUAUAAGCUGUAAGUUAGCGGGACUCUUCAAAUAAUUCUAAUAUUUUGAUUUUUAAUUCUUAUAUUUAAAAAAAUAUCUUCUGUAGUUAAAUAUAUUUUAUUUUUAUCCUUACUUUUACUUUACUUUACUUUUAUAAUAAUAGCCUUCUAAAAUUUUUUUAACAUUAAUUAAGUUAUUUAUAAAAUUUUAAUUAUAAAAUUAACUAAUAAAUAUCAGUACGAAAGAAUUAAUAUUUUUUUAACCCAUACAAUAAUCUUGCAAAUAAUUUUUUUAUAAAUAAAAAUUAAUAUCAACUAACUUAAAGUGGUGUUUAAUAUCCUUACAAUAAUUAUAUUAAUAUUUAUUUAUAAAAAAUUAAUUUACCAAAUUAAUCUUAAAACUAAAUUAAUAACAUAAAAAUUUAUAAAACUAAUUAUUUUACUUUUCAUCGGCUGCAAUUUGUUGAAACUUGGGUGAAGACAAAUUGAGAUCUUAGAAAUCUCCAAUGAGAUAAUAAAAUAUAAUAUAUAUGUUAGGUCUUUGUUCUUUAGAGAAUAGGAGUCAUCAUAUAGUACCGCGCUGUAUGUAAUACAGCUGCUUCAACAGUGAAAAAAAAACUUGAACAAUCGGUAUUUUACCGGUUGUUCAUCUAAUAAUUUUUAAAAAAUUUAUUUUUAAUGUGAAAAAAAUAAGGAAAUUUAUAAACAAUUAAUAUUAAAAAGAUUUGAGUAAGAAAAAUAUUUUUAAUUUAAAAAAAAGUUAAAAAAAGAGUAAAAUAAUCAUGUUCCAAUUUUUUUGGUUAAAUAUCAAUAUAUUAGGUGGACGUUUCAAAUUAAUUUCACAUGUCCCUAAUUUUCUUUAAACUUUCUCAAUAAUUGGUUUAUUUGUUUCCACUUCUCAAUCCACUAGUUUUAUGUAUAAUAUUCCUACUAAAUUCGUUAAAUACAAUUUUUUUAGGUUAAAUUCCAAGUAAAUUCAUUUCUCGUUAAAUAAGUUCCUAAAUUUGGUUACACUUUCUCCCUUUUUGGUUUAUAUGUUUCAACUAUUAUUUCACAAAUUUUACGUUCAAUAUUCCAAUUCGCUUGGUAAGAUUUCAUUUAUUUGGGUUAAAUACCGAAAUAAUUUUUUUUGUUAAAUUAGUUCCCAAUUUUGGUUAAGCUUUUUAAUAUUUAAGUUCACAUGUUUCAAAUUAUCAGUCCACUAGUUUUGUGUUAGGUAUUCCUACUAAGUUCGAUCAAUACCAAUAUUUUGGGUUAGAUUCCAAGUAAUUUUCAUUUCCCGUUGGAUGAGUUCCUAAUUUUCGUUAGAUUUUCUCGCUUAUUGGUUCAAAUGUUUCAUCUAAUUAUUCCUCUAGUUUUGUGUUGAAUAUUCCCAUUAACUUAGAUAGAUUCCAAUUAUUUGGGUUAAGUACCGAAUUUAUUUUUCGUAAUUUUAUUUUUGGUUAAGUAUGUUCCUAAUUUUGGUUACACUUUCUUCCUUGUGGGUUUAUACGUUUCAAUUAUUAUUCCACUAGUUUUGUGUUCAAUAUUCCAAUUAAUUUGAUAAGAUUUCAUUUAUUUGGGUUAAAUACCGAAAUAAUUUUUUUUGUUAAAUUAGUUCCCAAUUUUGGUUAAGCUUUUUAAUAUUUAGGUUCACAUGUUUUAAAUUAUUAGUCCACUAGUUUUGUGUUAGGUAUUCCUACUAAGUUCGUUCAAUACCAAUAUUUUGGGUUAGAUUUCAAGUAAUUUUCAUUUCCCGUUGGAUGAGUUCCUAAUUUUCGUUAGAUUUUCUCGCUUAUUGGUUCAAAUGUUUCAUCUAAUUAUUCCUCUAGUUUUGUGUUGAAUAUUCCCAUUAACUUGAACAUAUUCCAAUUAUUUGGGUUAAGUACCGAAUUUAUUUUUCGUAAUUUUAUUUUUGGUUAAAUAAGUCCCUAAUUUUAGUUAUAUUUUCUCCUUUGUGGGGUUAUAUGUUUCAAUUAUAAUUUCACUAGUUUUGUGUUCAAUAUUCCAAUUAACUUGGUAAGAUUUCAUUUAUUUGGAUUAAAUACCGAAAUAAAUUUUUUUGGUUAAAUUAGUUCCCAAAUUUGCUUAAGCUUUUUCAUAUUUAGGUUCGUAUGUUUCAAAUUAUUAGUCCACUAGUUUUAUGUUAGGUAUUCCUACUAAGUUCGUUCAAUACCAAUAUUUUGGGUUAGAUUCCAAGUAAUUUUCAUUUCCCGUUGGAUAAGUUCCUAAUUUUCAUUAGAUUUUCUCACUUAUUGGUUCAAAUAUUUCAUCUAAUUAUUCCUCUAGUUUUGUGUUGAAUAUUCUCAUUAACUUGGACAAAUUCCAAUUAUUUGGGUUAAGUACCGAAUUUAUUUUUCGUAAUUUUAUUUUUGGUUAAGUAGGUUCCUAAUUUGGGUUAUAUUUUCUCAUAUUUACUUUUAUAUGUUUCAACUAUUAUUUCACUAAUUUUGCGUUUAAUAUUCCAAUUAAUUUGGUGAAAUUUCAGUUAUUUAUGUUAAAUAUCAAAAUUACUUGUAUUACCGGAAACAAUAAUUUUAAUAAGUUGAAUUAUGUUUGAACCCUUACUAUUUUAUAAAAUAUCAACUUACCAUAUAAUACUGAAAAACAUUUAUUGUAACCCUUAAUCUUUUCCAAUAUUUUGGGUCCUUAACCUAGUUCCCUUUUAUAUAUAUCAUGAGAUCUCUUGAACUUGAUUGUAUAUAUAAUUGAGCUUUUAGUCUCUAUACAUAUUUAUUCUCAUUUUAUCAUUUUAGUUGAUUAUUUUUAGUUAUUGUUAAAAUAAAUUAAUGCAUUUAUUUUCAUCUCUCUCUUUACUUUUUAAAAUAAUUUCUUUAAUUUUUCAAAACUUCGACAGUAAAUAAAAAAUAACAUGUAAGAGCGCAUGCAAUUGCUAUGCUUCUCCAAAAAAUUAUUUUUAAAAAUUAUGAUGGCAUAAGUUAUAAAAAAAUAUUUAAGCUAACAAAACUUGAAACUUUCUUAAUCUAUUUGUGUUGAAUUUUCUUUUUUUCUUUUUUUGGGAUCAAUUGACUUCAGGAGAUUUCUUGAACUUGAAAUUAUUUAUACUUAACUUUUUAUCUUUAUAAAUGUUAUGCCCAUUUUAUAAUUCAAUUAAUUAUAUUUAUUUAUCUUUAAACUAAAAUAAAUCAAGAAUUAAGAUUUUUUUAAUUCAAAUUAAAUUUUUACCACUGUUUUCUUUUCAAAUUCUUUUUCUUAAUUUCUUAUUACUUCAACCAAAAAUUUAUGCUAUUAAUUAUAAAGAUUAAUAUAUUAUACUUGUAUUAUUAUCACUAUUAUUAUUUUUUUACUCUUACUAAAAUUAUUAUUAUUACUAUCUUGCCCCAUGAGAUUUGUUGACAAUUUUUUUUAAAUAAUGAGUAUCCUUCUUUUCGUUUUUAAGUAUGGAUAUAAUUUUUAAUUUAUAAAAUAAGUUCUUAAAUUUUCAAGACUUAACUAAAAUAAUUUUUAAGAGUUUAUUAUGACUAAUAUGGUUAUGAACAUUUAUUACUAUAGUAGCAACACUUUAUACCAUACCAUUUCAUAUUUAUUACUAUACCAAAAUUUGUUUAUUUAUUUUAUGAUUAUCCCAUGAACUGUGAAAAUUAACUUUUAUAUUAAAAUUGAAAAAUUUGUAAAUUUGUAUUACAUUGAUCCAAUUCUACUAAGCCACAAUUUAUUUAUCUUUAAUUAAUGCUUUAAACACAGUAAACGCAAUUCAAAUUCAACAAUAUUUUGUAAAAUAAAAAAAUAAAAAAAAAAUCAAUGCAAUCAAGAAAGAAGAAAAUAUAUACAUAUACAUAUACAAACACACACACACACACACACACACACACAUAUAUAUAUGUAUGUAUGUAUGUUUAUAUAUGUAUAUAUUUUGUUGAUAUAAAAUUAAUUAUUUACAACUAUAUUAAUAAUUUAAUAUAGAUGAGAUAAACUACUAUGUAAAUAUAUUAAUAAUCAAAUUAUGGCUAUCAGUUAAUUUAGUUGUAAAUCAUUUGAAUUCAAAACAAAACAGUUAAGGUUUGAAUCUAUGGGCGCAAAUUUAGUUGUUAUUAAGCUAUAUUGAAAAAAAAUCAUAUUCAAAUUCAAUUCCUUUUACCAUUACAAUAAAAUUAUAUAUAUAUAAUUUAGAUCCUAUUGAAAUUUGAACACGAAUAUCGAUUACUCACAAAUAAAACAAAUUUGCUGAGGCGGCUCGACUAAGACGUACGGGCAGCAUAAUUAAGUCCUCAUAACUCUCAAGUGCAGGCAUCAAAAAAUCAAAACUGAGAAUGACUGGUGAUAUAUAUAUAUAUAUAUAUAUAUAGACACCUCAAUCAAUUAAGAAAGAAGCAAAUUAUAAUCAUGGCUUCUAUAGCUGAUCAGGAAGAAGAGACAAAUAAUUUCUCACAUGCAAUGGGACUUGCAAGUGCAAUAGUGCUACCUGCAGUUAUGCAAGCAGUGGUAGAGCUUGAUGUGUUUGAGAUCAUAAGCAAAGCCGGUCCUGGUGCUAAGCUUUCGGUUGCGGAGAUUGUGGCUCAAAUUCCCUUAAAAGAUAAUAAUCCUGAAGCUGCAGCCACGACGUUGGAUCGGGUGCUGAGGCUGCUUGUCAGCUACAACGCUCUUCAUUGCUCUUUUGUCGAUGGACAAAGGCUCUACUCUCUUGCUCCUGUUUCUAAACACUUUGUUCGCAACAAUCGAGACGGCGUGUCGUUGCGUCCCUACAUGGCCUUGUGUCUCGACAAGAUCUGCUUGGAUGGCUGGUACAUAGAACUGCUUCUUUUCUUUACCGUUUCAGUAAAUCGAUCAUUUUCAUUCUCAUGAUUUAAAAUCGAUUAAACUCUGUUAAAAAGAUAUUUAAUUUUCAGUUAGUUUACCAUUAAUGUUAUAAAUGACACAAAAAGUAGAAAGUUAAUGAUUUCUUUUUUUUUUUAAUGACGGAGGAUUCUCAAAUAUGAAAACAAAAAUGAUUGAUUUUAACGAACAACAACGUUUUUUUUUUCGUUUCUCGACAAAAAUUAGUUUUUCGAAUUUCAAGGUUAAUUGUGUGGUCUAAUUUUUGAAUCACCAGCACCAAACCAAGCUUCUGAAAUAGUUACUAACUGUGUUUGGAUUUUGAUAAAUUCAGGUUUGGAUUGAAAAAGCAAAUUCUUGAAGGAGGAAUUGCGUUUAAUAAAGCGCACGGAAUGCAAAUCUAUGAUUACUUAGGCGUCGACUCAAGGUUCAAUGAUGUUUUCAACAAUGGAAUGUUAAGCCACACUUCUAUUGUCAUGGAGAAGGUCCUAGAAUCAUACAAAGGCUUUGAGCAUGUUAAAAAGCUUGUGGAUGUUGGCGGUGGCUUGGGGAUCACUCUUAAUAUGAUAAUUUCAAAAUAUCCUCAUAUUAAGGGUAUUAAUUAUGACUUACCUUAUGUCAUUAAAGAUGCCCCAUCUUAUUCAGGUACUUUAUUUAUAAAAUUUGUAUAGUAUUUUUGUUAAUGAUUCAUCGAUGUUACACUAGCUAACAAAAGUUAGUUUAUUUAAAUUUCAGGGAUAAAACAUAUAGGUGGAGAUUUGUUCAAAAGUAUUCCUGAGGCAGAUACUAUUUUUAUGAAGGUUUAUAUUUUUUUAUAUCACUUGAAAUCAUCAUAAGGAAAAAUUAAAUAGAGAGAAUGACACUUUUCUCCCUAUUGUUUUUGAGUUAAGAUGUAUCCUAACCCUGUUGCUCACUUGGUAUUAGAACUUUGAUAGAAAAAUUCAAAGGGAUAAUAGGAUAUUAUGAAAACUAUUAAAAGAAAAAAAAUGGUGAAACUCAAAACUAUAUAUACAAGGAAAGUGUCAACAACUCUCUUUUUUUCUUCAAUGGUAAAAUGGGUGGGCAAAGCCCAAAUUAACUAAUUAUUGAUCCCAUAUCUCCCUUGAGUUCAAACUUGGGUGACAGUUAAAUAAAAUUGAUUGAAAACAAUUCGAUCAGGCACCUCGGGUGGAAAAUAUCAAUCUCUCUUCUUUAUGAAUGCUUUGUUCAAUCACAUAAAUUGAUCAUAGAUAUCCGGAUAGAACAAAUGAGAAUUAAUAUGAAUACAUGGAACUUUUGCAGUGGAUGCUUCAUAGUUUUGAUGAUGAACAAGCCUUGAAAGUGUUGAAGAAUUGUUAUAAAGCUCUUCCAUAUGGUGGGAAGCUGCUUAAUAUUAAUUCGACAAUUUCGGAAAUGCCUGGGAAUAAUGUAGCUUCAAGGGAAAUCUCUAUUUUGGAUACGGUUUUGUUAGUCCAACUUCCUCAUGGAAGAGAGCGGACCAAACAAGAGUACACUGAAUUGGCAGUCAAAGCUGGAUUUAAAGGUGUCAACUAUGAUUAUGGUGCGUGCAAUUUAUAUGUUAUGGAAUUCUUCAAAUAAAUUGCAUACUUAAUUUCAUUUUGGAAAGAUCUUCUCAACCCUUGGGGAGUUUCCAAUUUCCUAUUUGUGUUAAUUAUUUUCUCUUUUGCUUGGCCUUGGGGCUUGUCUUAUGUACUUUCUUUCAUCUUAUGAAAAUAAUACGUCUCUUAGAAAGAGAUUGAUGGCUGUAUUUGGUACUUCUUAUGUAAUCUUUUUCAGUUCAUACAUUCAGCAUGUGAUUUUUGGUUUAUUAUUGAGGCAAAAAAGAAGUAUUUUUAUCUUGCCUUACUAUUAUUAUUAUUUUUUUGUUCAUUUCAAAGUUGAAAAAAUCAGUAAUGUAUAACUUUUUUAUCAUUUAAAGUAAGAACAUUUGACUUUUGAAAGAGUAGUUAUAGAGAACUCAUUCUAUGCCAUCUCAACCUCACACAAGAGUAAUUAAAACUAGAGCUAAUGUUAAAGUAGUUCUAAAUUUUGAAUUCAUUACAAACUUAUCCUAAAAAUUUGCCUUAGUGGAGUUUAUGUGUGGUACUGGUGUUUAUUUCAUUUUUAUUUCUAAAAACAUAGUAAAUUAAGUGCACCACUAAGUGAACCAGAUGAAGACUGAAAAUUAUUGAAAAAUGGAUUGUGGAGAUUUGGUUUUUCAUCAAACAACUACUAAGAGCUAAUAUUGCUCGAUGGAAAAAGAAAAAAAAUCUGAAUAUUAUGAUUAUCUUUGAAAGGUACAUAGUGAAUAGAGAAAAAAAAAAGAAAAAAAUUUGAGUUCCUUUAUUGGACGAGUAUUUUGAUUAGGAGAAAUUUUAUAAUGUUGUAAUUAAAAUGAUGGUAUCAAUGCCGUGAUAAAUAUGAAUUUUGUAAAUUACGCAUAAGACUGGUAAAUGAAAAGUAAAAUAAGUAAAUUAAUAUAAGAGUGGUAAAUUGGCGUCUUAAAACUACAAACUAAACAAAUAUUUAUAAAAAUAACAUAAAACUUGUAAAUCAACAUUAAACUUUAAUUAAAAAAAUAAUUUAUUCAUUUAAUUUACAUAAAUGAUGAAAAAAUCACUCAUCAAUUGAAAAAAUAUAUAUUUAAAACAAUUGCAAUAAGUUUUAUUGUAUUGGUUUAACUAUAUAUUCUAUAUUCAUUCUUCGACAUAAAAAAAAAUGAAUCUUUUAAAAAAAAAUGAAUCUUUUUCUAUCUAUAGUAUUUGAUACUACACAUGUUAAUUAAGCAAAAAUUUUUUUUUUUUUACGUGAAUCAAGCAAAAAAAAAAAAGAUUUUCUUAUAUUACUAGAUGUACAUGAUAUAUCAAUAAAAUUGGAUCUAAUUUUUAGUGCUAUAUAUACUUCAUGUAAUUUUAAACUAUGUUUCUUAUUGUACUUAAAGAUUAUUUGGGUUUACGGUCAAGGAGGCUUAAAAGGAUAUAACAUCACCUUAUUUUACAAGCAGUGAGGUUUGAAAGUCUAACUUUCAGGAUAUGUUUAUCAUUCUUAUAUUACUAGAUGUACAUGACAUAUCAAUAAAAUUGGAUCUAAUUUUUAGUGUUAUACAUAUUUCAUGUAAUUUUAAACUAUGUUUCUUAUUGUACUUAAAGAUCAUUUGGGUUUACGGUCAAGGAAGCUUAAAAGCAUACAACAUCACCUUAUGUUACAAGCAGUGAGGUUUGAAAGUCUAACUUUCAGGAUAGAUUUAUCAUUAAUAAAAUUUCACAUAUGUCAUCACAUAUAUUAUACAACCUCAUAAUGUGACAAUUAGCUUAUAUAUUUACUAAUUUUGAUUCUAAAUUGAGUUUAGAAUCAAAAUUAUGAGCUAAUAGUCACAUUAUGAGUUUUUAUUUUAUAUUUGUAAGUUUUUAUUUUUUUAAUAACUCUUAUAUUAAGGUACUUGUUUUACCUUCUAUUUACAAGUAUUACAUUCUAUUUAUAUCAUUUAUAUUUUAUUUUAUGAUUAAUGUGGAUUUACCACUUCUAUGUUACAUGUAUAAGUUUUAUUUUAUUUAUCAAUAAUAUAAUGAUUUAUCACUUUUAGGUUAAUUUAUUUGUUUUACCUUCUAUUUACAAGUUUUAUGUCCCAUUUACUUUUUUAUGUUUUAUUUACACUUUAAUGUUAAUUUACAAGUUUUAUACUAUAUGAAUAAGUUUUUGUUUUAUUUACUAAUGAUACACCAAUUAACUACUCCUAUAUUAGUUUACUUAUUUUACCUUCUAUUUACAAAUCUUGUAUUCUAUUUAACACAAAUGUUGGCAUGAGAUUCCUGACAUAUUUCUAAAAUCAAAAUAAGAUGCAUAGAGGACAAUAAUUUUAUUUCAUAAUUAAAAUUUUUGUAAAGAAAGUUUGAAUAUGAGAGGGGUGAGAGAUGAGAAUAUUGACGAUGGUGUGUACUUUGGAUGGAAAAAUAGAUUGAAAAUAUAUAUAGACAUAUUAAAAGAAAAAAAUAUGAUCUAUACCUCAAGAGAAAUAAGAAAUUAUAAAUGCAGGUGGUCAAAUGUAUUUAUAAUUUAUAAUUUUUUAUAAAUAUGAUAAUCAUUAGACCAAUAUAAAAGUCUAGCAAAAAGUUUAAAUUUUUUUAAUAAAUGUAGAAGAGAUGGACGAAGAAACCAGCCAACAGUUCAGAAUUAACAAUUAAAGAUAUGAGGACUUGAUCGAAGAAAUGUGAAAAAUAAAAGGACACUGGGUUGGUUAGCGGGACCCUAAUUUAAUGGUAAAAAAUAAAAGGACACUGGGUUGCUAUCAAUUUCUACGGUGUGGUACGUUCAUAGCCGGGGAAGUAAUUGUAUUAGCGGGACCCUAACAUUAAUAAAAGGACACUGGGUUGUUUAGCGGGACCCUAAUAUUAAUGGUAAAAAAUAAAAGGAAACUGAGUUGGUAUCAAUUUCUACGGUGUAGGUUCAUAGCCGGGGAAGUAAUUAUAUUAGCGGGACCCUAAUAUUAAUGGAGACCUAAUAUUAAUGAUAAAAAAUAAAAGGACACUGGGUUACAAUCAAUUUCUACAGAGUGGGUUCAUAGCCGGAGAAGUAAUUGGGCACAAAUAUCAUGGUGAACACGGAUGAGAAAUAACCAUUUUAUCCCCGCAACUUUAUGUUUAUGGCCUCUAAAAAUUUUCACCUCUUUCACUUCUGGAACCCGCGCUUUCUGGCACAUGCACAAUACUUGGUUGCGACUUAUAGAGAGUUUUAGAAUUGCAACGACAUGGUGCUCUUUGAUAAUUCAAAAAUCCAAUAGAAUUUAUAGAGAAUUACAGAAUUGUGGUACGUGAUAAUUUGCUGAUGCAGUGAGGGGCCGAAAUUCUUGUACAUGUGAUUAAGUUAUAGAUGUAUAAUUAAGUAAUUAGCAAGCACUAAUUGGGGGUAUUUGUGUCCAUGAAAAUUUACAGUUGGUUGUUGACAUUAUACUGUGGGUGCGUAAGUGCAAUCACGAUCUGACCAUUCAAAUUAAAAAAUGGGGGUCCCACUAAUUAUAAAGUUUGUAAUUAUCACAUAUACAGAUAUGGUCGCAUAUGAAAAUCUUAUCAUAAAUUGAAUGGAUUCGAUGACUUAAUUGAAGUUAUGAACGGAUAUUUAAAUAAAAGAAAAUUUAUAAUAAAGAAAAGUAUUAAUUUGUUGUGAAUGUAACUUAUAUAAGCUGUAAGUUAGCGGGACUCUUCAAAUAAUUCUAAUAUUUUGAUUUUUAAUUCUUAUAUUUAAAAAAAUAUCUUUUGUAGUUAAAUAUAUUUUUUUUUUAUCCUUACUUUUACUUUACUUUUAUAAUAAUAGCCUUCUAAUUUUUUUUAACAUUAAUUAAGUUAUUUAUAAAAUUUUAAUUAUAAAAUUUACUAAUAAUUAUUUAUUAAUAAAUUAACUAAUAAAUAUCAGUAUGAAAGAACUAAUAUUUUUUUAACCCAUGCAAUAAUCUUGCAAAUAAUUUUUUUAUAAAUAAAAAUUAAUAUCAACUAACUUAAAGUGGUGUUUAAUAUCCUUACAAUAAUUAUAUUAAUAUUAAUUUAUAAAAAAUUAAUUUACUAAAUUAAUCUUAAAACUAAAUUAAUAACAUAAAAAUUUAUAAAACUAAUUAUUUUACUUUUCAUCGGCUGCAAUUUGUUGAAACUUGGGUGAAGACAAAUUGAGAUCUUAGAAAUCUCCAAUGAGAUAAUAAAAUAUAAUAUAUAUGUUAGGUCUUUGUUUUUUUUUUUUUUUUUUGGUUUAAACCACCCGAUUUCCGACGACCGCAUUGGGCCCCGACUAAUUCGGAUUCGGGGUGUAGUCACAGUUAAGGCUCUUUACCCCUCCCAAAUGGUGUGUUUAGUAGGGAUCAAACCCGAGAGCUCUUUCCACUUACCCAACCUGCGUCGCCAACUGAACCACAACCGUUUGAUUAGGUCUUUGUUCUUUAGAGAAUAGAUCCUAUUGAAAUUUGAACACGAAUAUCGAUUACUCACAAAUAAAAUAAAUUUGCUGAGGCGGCUCGACUAAGACGUACGGGCAGCAUAAUUAAGUCCUCAUAACUCUCAAGUGCAGGCAUCAAAAAAUCAAAACUGAGAAUGACUGGUGAUAUAUAUAUAUAUAUAUAUAGACACCUCAAGCAAUUAAGAAAGAAGCAAAUUAUAAUCAUGGCUUCUAUAGCUGAUCAGGAAGAAGAGACAAAUAAUUUCUCACAUGCAAUGGGACUUGCAAGUGCAAUAGUGCUACCUGCAGUUAUGCAAGCAGUGGUAGAGCUUGAUGUGUUUGAGAUCAUAAGCAAAGCCGGUCCUGGUGCUAAGCUUUCGGUUGCGGAGAUUGUGGCUCAAAUUCCCUUAAAAGAUAAUAAUCCUGAAGCUGCAGCCAC